This 416-nucleotide ribosomal RNA is filed under the name uncultured bacterium. Its description in RNAcentral is "bacterial SSU rRNA". It matches the Rfam family "Bacterial small subunit ribosomal RNA", at positions 28 to 447 of the family's 1533-position model. The record is from RNAcentral.
GACGAACGCUGGCGGCGUGCUUAACACAUGCAAGUCGAACGGAAAGGCCCUGCUUUUGUGGGGUGCUCGAGUGGCGAACGGUGAGUAACACGUGAGUAACCUGCCCUUGACUUUGGGAUAACCUCAGGAAACUGGGGCCAAUACCGGAUAGGAGCUCCUGCUGCAUGGUGGGGUUGGAAAGUUUCGGCGGUUGGGGAUGGACUCGCGGCUUAUCAGCUUGUUGGUGGGGUAGUGGCUUACCAAGGCUUUGACGGGUAGCCGGCCUGAGAGGGUGACCGGCCACAUUGGGACUGAGAUACGGCCCAGACUCCUACGGGAGGCAGCAGUGGGGAAUAUUGCACAAUGGGCGGAAGCCUGAUGCAGCAACGCCGCGUGCGGGAUGACGGCCUCGGUGUAACCGACUUCGCCUCGUGACG